GGCUUGUGGCUAAGUGGUAGAGUGCUUGCCUAGCAUGUGUGCGGCACUGAGUUCAAGUCUCAGCACCA
This 68-nucleotide transfer RNA is filed under the name Marmota monax (woodchuck). Its description in RNAcentral is "tRNA.Ala". Lineage: Eukaryota; Metazoa; Chordata; Mammalia; Rodentia; Sciuridae. The record is from RNAcentral.